This 489-nucleotide ribosomal RNA is filed under the name uncultured bacterium. RNAcentral describes it as "partial 16S ribosomal RNA". It matches the Rfam family "Bacterial small subunit ribosomal RNA", at positions 29 to 507 of the family's 1533-position model. The record is from RNAcentral.
AUGAACGCUAGCGAUAGGCUUAACCCAUGCAAGUCGAGGGGCAGCAUGGUCUUAGCUUGCUAAGACUGAUGGCGACCGGCGCACGGGUGCGUAACGCGUAUGCAACUUGCCUCACAGAGGGGGAUAACCCGUCGAAAGACGGACUAAUACCGCGUACACUUGGGAUAGGGCAUCCUGACCCAAGGAAAUGAAAUUCGCUGUGAGAUAGGCAUGCGUCCCAUUAGCUAGUUGGUGAGGUAACGGCUCACCAAGGCGACGAUGGGUAGGGGAACUGAGAGGUUGAACCCCCACACUGGUACUGAGACACGGACCAGACUCCUACGGGAGGCAGCAGUGAGGAAUAUUGGUCAAUGGGCGAGAGCCUGAACCAGCCAAGUCGCGUGAAGGAUGACUGUCUUAUGGAUUGUAAACUUCUUUUAUACGGGAAUAACAAGAGCCACGUGUGGCUCCCUGCAUGUACCGUAUGAAUAAGCAUCGGCUAACUCCGUG